Molecule: ribosomal RNA, 253 nt
Filed under: uncultured bacterium
Lineage: Bacteria
Description: partial 16S ribosomal RNA
Rfam family: Bacterial small subunit ribosomal RNA
Source: RNAcentral
UACGGGGGGGGCAAGCGUUGUUCGGAAUUACUGGGCGUAAAGGGCUCGUAGGCGGCCAACUAAGUCAGACGUGAAAUCCCUCGGCUUAACCGGGGAACUGCGUCUGAUACUGGUUGGCUUGAGUUUGGGAGAGGGAUGCGGAAUUCCAGGUGUAGCGGUGAAAUGCGUAGAUAUCAGGAGGAACACCUGCGGUGUAGACGGCUGGCUGGACCACUACUGACGCUGAGGCACGAAAGCGUGGGGAGCAAACAGG